UGCACCAGCUGCAAGGCCUUCUUGAAAUCGGAAAUUUGGCCCCGCAGAAAAGUUUAAGCCAAGUGGCUGUCAUUAAUUAAACACCUCUUUUUUCUCCUAGUUACCCUGCUGGAGCUCCAAGAGGACACAAAAGGGACAGACCCCGAGUUAGCGCAAGGCCAGACUCAAGCUCGCGGAAUCACGAAGACGUGCAGAAACGGACAAGGGUGCGGCGAGAAAGCCGGCUGCGGGUCGCCGAAGGACGACUUGGGACCCUUAUAAAGGGACGUGGCGGUCCGGAAACCGGUAUUACGCCCUGCCCCGGCCACUGCAGACCGUGACGUCGGAGAUGCUGCGUUGUUUGGGAGUCGCGUCGUGUUCGAGGCGUAGUGCGGCUCGGGUUCUACGUGCCCGGAACGGACUCACCGAGGUAAUGUAUAUAAGCUCAACUGCCUGCGGCGGUGUUGGUUGGUGUUGAUGGCUGUGGCUGUGGCUGCCGCCUGUGGCUGUUGCU
Molecule: long non-coding RNA, 493 nt
Organism: Drosophila rhopaloa
Lineage: Eukaryota; Metazoa; Arthropoda; Insecta; Diptera; Drosophilidae
Exons: 3
Source: RefSeq, a predicted model, not a curated record